AAGGGGGGAUUGGAAUGGGGGUAACCCUGAUCCAGCCAUGCCGCGUGUGUGAAGAAGGCCUUUUGGUUGUAAAGCACUUUAAGCAGUGAAGAAGACUCUUCGGUUAAUACCCGGAGACGAUGACAUUAGCUGCAGAAUAAGCACCGGCUAACUCUGUGCCAGCAGCCGCGGUAAUACAGAGGGUGCAAGCGUUAAUCGGAAUUACUGGGCGUAAAGCGAGCGUAGGUGGCUUGAUAAGUCAGAUGUGAAAUCCCCGGGCUUAACCUGGGAACUGCAUCUGAAACUGUUAGGCUAGAGUAGGUGAGAGGGAAGUAGAAUUUCAGGUGUAGCGGUGAAAUGCGUAGAGAUCUGAAGGAAUACCGAUGGCGAAGGCAGCUUCCUGGCAUCAUACUGACACUGAGGCUCGAAAGCGUGGGUAGCAAACAGGAUUAGAUACCCUGGUAGUCCACGCCGUAAACGAUGUCUACUAGUCGUUGGGUCCCUUGAGGACUUAGUGACGCAGCUAACGCAAUAAGUAGACCGCCUGGGGAGUACGGCCGCAAGGUUAAAACUCAAAUGAAUUGACGGGGGCCCGCACAAGCGGUGGAGCAUGUGGUUUAAUUCGAUGCAACGCGAAGAACCUUACCUGGUCUUGACAUAUCUAGAAUCCUGCAGAGAUGCGGGAGUGCCUUCGGGAAUUAGAAUACAGGUGCUGCAUGGCUGUCGUCAGCUCGUGUCGUGAGAUGUUGGGUUAAGUCCCGCAACGAGCGCAACCCUUGUCCUUAGUUACCAGCGGGUUAAGCCGGGAACUCUAAGGAUACUGCCCAGGUGACAAACUGGAG
Molecule: ribosomal RNA, 821 nt
Filed under: Psychrobacter sp. YACS22
Lineage: Bacteria; Pseudomonadati; Pseudomonadota; Gammaproteobacteria; Moraxellales; Moraxellaceae
Description: bacterial SSU rRNA
Rfam family: Bacterial small subunit ribosomal RNA
Source: RNAcentral